CCUACGGGUGGCAGCAGGGAGGAAUAGUGGGCAAUGGACGGAAGGCGGAACCAGCAAAGUCGCGGGAAGGAAGAAGGAGCUAUGGGUGGUAAACUGCUUUUAUAGGGGAAUAAAGGUAGCCACGUGUGGAGAUCUGCAUGUACCCUAUGAAUAAGCAUCGGCUAACUCCGUGCCAGCAGCCGCGGUAAUACGGAGGGUGCGAGCGUUAUCCGGAGUUAUUUGGUUUAAAGGGUGCGUAGGUUGGUUUUUAAGUCAGCGGUGAAAGUUUGUGGCUCAACCCUAAGCUUGCCGUUGAAACUGGAAGACUUGAGUGUGUUUGAGGUAGGCGGAAUUCGUGGUGUAGCGGUGCAAUGCAUAGAUAUCACGCAGAACUCCGAUUGCGAAGGCAGCUUACU
RNAcentral lists this ribosomal RNA (395 nucleotides) under uncultured bacterium. RNAcentral describes it as "partial 16S ribosomal RNA". It matches the Rfam family "Bacterial small subunit ribosomal RNA", at positions 338 to 730 of the family's 1533-position model. The record is from RNAcentral.